GGCCCUUUAGUACAAUGGAUAGUAUUCAGGAAUCCGGAUCCUGAGAUAUAGGUUCGAUUCCUAUAGGGGCUACCA
This 75-nucleotide transfer RNA is filed under the name Schleiferiaceae bacterium. Its description in RNAcentral is "tRNA-Arg". It matches the Rfam family "tRNA". From Rfam's summary of the family: Transfer RNA (tRNA) molecules are approximately 80 nucleotides in length. Their secondary structure includes four short double-helical elements and three loops (D, anti-codon, and T loops). The record is from RNAcentral. Lineage: Bacteria; Pseudomonadati; Bacteroidota; Flavobacteriia; Flavobacteriales; Schleiferiaceae.